RNAcentral lists this non-coding RNA (21 nucleotides) under Arabidopsis thaliana (thale cress). The record is from RNAcentral. Lineage: Eukaryota; Viridiplantae; Streptophyta; Magnoliopsida; Brassicales; Brassicaceae.
CAUUCGUGGCUCGGGAUGCUC